CAGUCGCCGCGGGAAUACAGAGGGUGCGAGCGUUAAUCGGAUUUACUGGGCGUAAAGCGUGCGUAGGCGGCUUUUUAAGUCGGAUGUGAAAUCCCUGAGCUUAACUUAGGAAUUGCAUUCGAUACUGGGAAGCUAGAGUAUGGGAGAGGAUGGUAGAAUUCCAGGUGUAGCGGUGAAAUGCGUAGAGAUCUGGAGGAAUACCGAUGGCGAAGGCAGCCAUCUGGCCUAAUACUGACGCUGAGGUACGAAAGCAUGGGGAGCAAACAGGAUUAGAUACCCCAGUAGUCCCUGUCUAUUAUAC
Molecule: ribosomal RNA, 301 nt
Filed under: uncultured bacterium
Lineage: Bacteria
Description: partial 16S ribosomal RNA
Rfam family: Bacterial small subunit ribosomal RNA
Source: RNAcentral